CUGAGGGAAGCAGGCUUUGAAAGCAGCAGUCUGUCCAGGGAGUGGUGGACCUGCUUUUGCCCCUCAGGAAGUGUCUGGAUUGGGAAGGGAAGAGAGGACGUGGAGCAGUGAAUCCAGCAGUUACAGAACUUUGGGAGUGAGUAGGAAGUCACCAGACCCCUGUGGGGGCCGGCAUGUCCAAGUGGUGCUAGAGUCAGGGCCCACUGUGGGCUUCUGCACCCCAGAACUCAACUAUCUCCCCAGUGUGGCCUGUGUCUGCCUGAUAGGAAGACACUCCAACACUAGGGAUCUAUAGGGUAUCUCCUGAGAGGCCUGAGGCAAGUCAUGGGCAGUCACCUUCUGCUUGAGCUUCAACUUCUGCCCCUUAAAAUGACGACCUCUGGGCUGGAGAUGUGCCCCAGUGGUAGAGUGCUUGCUUAGCACGUGUCAGAACCUGGGAGGGUGGAGGAAGGACCUCUCCAGCCCAGAGAGCCUAGAUGGUACUGUCCAAAAAUCCUAUUCAGAUGAUUCCAAGGUAUAGCAAAUGCUAAUACUCCUGGAAAAGGUUUCCUCCUGACCCCAAUCAUAGAGCCACAUCUCACAAGUUUCACAGCUCUUCCUUGUGCCUGUGAGUGUAUGCCCUCUUUCCCGACUCCUAGCCUCUGUGGGUACUUCACAGAUGUUGCUUC
Molecule: long non-coding RNA, 668 nt
Filed under: Marmota monax (woodchuck)
Lineage: Eukaryota; Metazoa; Chordata; Mammalia; Rodentia; Sciuridae
Source: RNAcentral